GUACUGUGCGAACGUUGUUCGGAAUUACUGGGCUUAAAGGGUGCGUAGGCGGUCAGUCAAGUCGGGUGUGAAAUCCCUCGGCUCAACCGAGGAACUGCGCCCGAAACUAAUUGGCUUGAGUGAGAUAGGGGUGUGCGGAACUUCCAGUGGAGCGGUGAAAUGUGUUGAUAUUGGAAGGAACACCGGUGGCGAAAGCGGCACACUGGGUCUCAACUGACGCUGAGGCACGAAAGCCAGGGGAGCGAACGGGGAUUAGAUACCCCGGUAGUCCUGGCUGUAAACGUUGAGCACUAGACGGGAGGAGCUUCGGCUCAUCCGGUCGUAGCGAAAGCGAUAAGUGCUCGCCUGGGGAGUAUGGUCGCAAGGCUG
This 369-nucleotide ribosomal RNA is filed under the name uncultured organism. RNAcentral's name for it is "partial 16S ribosomal RNA". It matches the Rfam family "Bacterial small subunit ribosomal RNA", at positions 527 to 896 of the family's 1533-position model. The record is from RNAcentral.